GACGAACGCUGGCGGCGUGCCUAAUACAUGCAAGUAGAACGCUGAAGAGAGGAGCUUACUCUUCUUGGAAGAGUUGCGAACGGGUGAGUAACGCGUAGGUAACCUGCCUUGUAGCGGGGGAUAACUAUUGGAAACGAUAGCUAAUACCGCAUAACAAUGGGUGACCCAUGUCAUUCAUUUGAAAGGGGCAACUGCUCCACUACAAGAUGGACCUGCGUUGUAUUAGCUAGUAGGUGAGGUAACGGCUCACCUAGGCGACGAUACAUAGCCGACCUGAGAGGGUGAUCGGCCACACUGGGACUGAGACACGGCCCAGACUCCUACGGGAGGCAGCAGUAGGGAAUCUUCGGCAAUGGGGGCAACCCUGACCGAGCAACGCCGCGUGAGUGAAGAAGGUUUUCGGAUCGUAAAGCUCUGUUGUAAGUCAAGAACGAGUGUGAGAGUGGAAAGUUCACACUGUGACGGUAGCUUACCAGAAAGGGACGGCUAACUACGUGCCAGCAGCCGCGGUAAUACGUAGGUCCCGAGCGUUGUCCGGAUUUAUUGGGCGUAAAGCGAGCGCAGGCGGUUUGAUAAGUCUGAAGUUAAAGGCUGUGGCUCAACCAUAGUUUGCUUUGGAAACUGUCAAACUUGAGUGCAGAAGGGGAGAGUGGAAUUCCAUGUGUAGCGGUGAAAUGCGUAGAUAUAUGGAGGAACACCGGUGGCGAAAGCGGCUCUCUGGUCUGUAACUGACGCUGAGGCUCGAAAGCGCGGGGAGCGAAUAGG
RNAcentral lists this ribosomal RNA (765 nucleotides) under uncultured Streptococcus sp. RNAcentral's name for it is "bacterial SSU rRNA". It matches the Rfam family "Bacterial small subunit ribosomal RNA", at positions 28 to 776 of the family's 1533-position model. The record is from RNAcentral. Lineage: Bacteria; Bacillati; Bacillota; Bacilli; Lactobacillales; Streptococcaceae.